Molecule: ribosomal RNA, 429 nt
Filed under: Actinomycetes bacterium
Lineage: Bacteria; Bacillati; Actinomycetota; Actinomycetes
Description: Actinobacteria bacterium partial 16S ribosomal RNA
Rfam family: Bacterial small subunit ribosomal RNA
Source: RNAcentral
UAGGGAAUCUUCCGCAAUGGGCGAAAGCCUGACGGAGCAACGCCGCGUGAGUGAUGAAGGUCUUCGGAUCGUAAAACCCUGUUAUUAGGGAAGAACAAAUGUGUAAGUAACUAUGCACGUCUUGACGGUACCUAAUCAGAAAGCCACGGCUAACUACGUGCCAGCAGCCGCGGUAAUACGUAGGUGGCAAGCGUUAUCCGGAAUUAUUGGGCGUAAAGCGCGCGUAGGCGGUUUUUUAAGUCUGAUGUGAAAGCCCACGGCUCAACCGUGGAGGGUCAUUGGAAACUGGAAAACUUGAGUGCAGAAGAGGAAAGUGGAAUUCCAGGUGUAGCGGUGAAAUGCGCAGAGAUAUGGAGGAACACCAGUGGCGAAGGCGACUUUCUGGUCUGUAACUGACGCUGAUGUGCGAAAGCGUGGGGAUCAAACAGG